Molecule: ribosomal RNA, 253 nt
Filed under: uncultured bacterium
Lineage: Bacteria
Description: partial 16S ribosomal RNA
Rfam family: Bacterial small subunit ribosomal RNA
Source: RNAcentral
UACGGGGGGGCAAGCGUUGUUCGGAAUUACUGGGCGUAAAGGGCUCGUAGGCGGCCAACUAAGUCGGAUGUGAAAUCCCCAAGCUUAACUUGGGAACUGCAUCCGAUACUGGAUGGCUUGAAUCCGGGAGAGGGAUGCAGAAUUCCAGGUGUAGCGGUGAAAUGCGUAGAUAUCUGGAGGAAUACCGGUGGCGAAGGCGGCAUCCUGGACCGGCAUUGACGCUGAGGAGCGAAAAGCUAGGGGAGCAAACGGG